This 455-nucleotide unclassified non-coding RNA is filed under the name Amphimedon queenslandica. RNAcentral's name for it is "leucine-rich repeat-containing protein 40-like, transcript variant X1". Lineage: Eukaryota; Metazoa; Porifera; Demospongiae; Haplosclerida; Niphatidae. The record is from RNAcentral.
ACAUGUAGAUGUAUGAAGGUUAGAUGGUGAAUGUGUAUAAUUACAGGGGCAUUAGUGUUAUUCCUCCUAAACUGUGGAGACUCAAUAUUGAUCCUCCUGAUGGUAGUACUGCUUCAUUUGAUGUUGAUGAGAGAUGGUGGGACCAGGUGGAACUGACUAGACUGGAUCUAUCAUCUAACGAAAUCAAAGAAAUAUCUGAAGAUAUUGAAAACUUUAAUUCAUUGUCAGCGCUUGAGGUCCAGUACAAUGAGUUAACAUGUCUACCUAAUAAUGUGAUCAAACUGGAUAAACUAUCUAAAAUAUUUGCAAGUUAUAAAAUGAUGUGUUCUUGAUGAUGAUUGUAAUACCAUCAUGUCCGUCUCAUGGUCUGUGAAAAGGAUACAUGUACAUUCUCUCCUAUAUGUUAGGAAGGUUUGAGUCUCUUCAUUAUCUUCUCUUUGAUGUUCUCCUCUUAA